GAGCAAUGAUGACAAUGACAUUACCCAGAUUAUAACCAUGAUGGUUUCUACACUUGAUCUGAGCUCA
Non-coding RNA from Xenopus laevis (African clawed frog), 67 nucleotides. The record is from Rfam. Lineage: Eukaryota; Metazoa; Chordata; Amphibia; Anura; Pipidae.